This 253-nucleotide ribosomal RNA is filed under the name uncultured bacterium. Its description in RNAcentral is "partial 16S ribosomal RNA". It matches the Rfam family "Bacterial small subunit ribosomal RNA", at positions 524 to 776 of the family's 1533-position model. The record is from RNAcentral.
GACGUAGGAGGCGAGCGUUGUCCGGAUUCAUUGGGCGUAAAGCGUCCGCAGGUGGCAGUUCAAGUCUGCUGUCAAGGACCGGGGCUUAACUUCGGAAAGGCAGUGGAAACUGAACAGCUAGAGUAUGGUAGGGGCAGAGGGAAUUCCUGGUGUAGCGGUGAAAUGCGUAGAGAUCAGGAAGAACAUCGGUGGCGAAGGCGCUCUGCUGGACCAUAACUGACACUCAGGGACGAAAGCGUGGGGAGCGAACAGG